GUGGGGAAUAUUGGACAAUGGGCGAAAGCCUGAUCCAGCCAUGCCGCGUGUGUGAAGAAGGUCUUCGGAUUGUAAAGCACUUUAAGUUGGGAGGAAGGGCAGUAAGUUAAUACCUUGCUGUUUUGACGUUACCGACAGAAUAAGCACCGGCUAACUUCGUGCCAGCAGCCGCAGUAAUACGAAGGGUGCAAGCGUUAAUCGGAAUUACUGGGCGUAAAGCGCGCGUAGGUGGUUUUGUAAGUUGGAGGUGAAAUCCCCGGGCUCAACCUGGGAACUGCCUCCAAAACUGCAUGACUAGAGUACGGUAGAGGGUAGUGGAAUUUCCUGUGUAGCGGUGAAAUGCGUAGAUAUAGGAAGGAACACCAGUGGCGAAGGCGACUACCUGGACUGAUACUGACACUGAGGUGCGAAAGCGUGGGGAGCAAACAGGAUUAGAAACCCCUGUAGUCC
This 450-nucleotide ribosomal RNA is filed under the name uncultured bacterium. Its description in RNAcentral is "partial 16S ribosomal RNA". It matches the Rfam family "Bacterial small subunit ribosomal RNA", at positions 354 to 796 of the family's 1533-position model. The record is from RNAcentral.